GAUGAACGCUGGCGGCGUGCCUAAUACAUGCAAGUCGAGCGAACAGACGAGGAGCUUGCUCCUCUGACGUUAGCGGCGGACGGGUGAGUAACACGUGGAUAACCUACCUAUAAGACUGGGAUAACUUCGGGAAACCGGAGCUAAUACCGGAUAAUAUAUUGAACCGCAUGGUUCAAUAGUGAAAGACGGUUUUGCUGUCACGUAUAGAUGGAUCCGCGCCGCAUUAGCUAGUUGGUAAGGUAACGGCCUACCAAGGCAACGAUGCGUAGCCGACCUGAGAGGGUGAUCGGCCACACUGGAACUGAGACACGGUCCAGACUCCUACGGGAGGCAGCAGUAGGGAAUCUUCCGCAAUGGGCGCAAGCCUGACGGAGCACCGCCGCGUGAGUGAUGAAGGUCUUCGGAUCGUAAAACUCUGUUAUUAGGGAAGAACAAAUGUGUAAGUAACUAUGCACGUCUUGACGGUACCUAAUCAGAAAGCCACGGCUAACUACGUG
RNAcentral lists this ribosomal RNA (497 nucleotides) under uncultured bacterium. RNAcentral's name for it is "partial 16S ribosomal RNA". It matches the Rfam family "Bacterial small subunit ribosomal RNA", at positions 28 to 507 of the family's 1533-position model. The record is from RNAcentral.